AACGAACGCUGGCGGCAGGCUUAACACAUGCAAGUCGAACGGGUGCAGCAAUGCAUCAGUGGCAGACGGGUGAGUAACACGUGGGAACCUUCCUAGGGGUACGGAACAACUCAGGGAAACUUGAGCUAAUACCGUAUACGUCCGUAAGGAGAAAGAUUCAUCGCCCCUAGACGGGCCCGCGUCGGAUUAGGUAGUUGGUGGGGUAACGGCCUACCAAGCCUGCGAUCCGUAGCUGAUCUGAGAGGAUGAUCAGCCACACUGGGACUGAGACACGGCCCAGACUCCUACGGGAGGCAGCAGUGGGGAAUCUUGGACAAUGGGCGCAAGCCUGAUCCAGCCAUGCCGCGUGAGUGAAGAAGGCCUUAGGGUUGUAAAGCUCUUUUACCAGGGACGAUAAUGAGGUACCUGGAGAAUAAGCCCCGCAAACUUCGUGCCAGCAGCCGCCGCAGUAAC
RNAcentral lists this ribosomal RNA (453 nucleotides) under uncultured bacterium. Its description in RNAcentral is "bacterial SSU rRNA". It matches the Rfam family "Bacterial small subunit ribosomal RNA", at positions 29 to 526 of the family's 1533-position model. The record is from RNAcentral.